GUUUAUGGUAAACUUUACCAGUCACAAUGUGCUUAGACUUAUACUUGACUUGUGCUUACGAAUUCUUCUCAGAUUUUGUGGAGUCUGUCCCAUAUUACGAUGAUGGUGGAAAACCACUAAGUAAAAAAACUAAACAGUUAUGAUGAGUUCCUAAAGAUAAUUACACAGUCAACAUUGUGUUAAAACGUCUAUGCAAGCAAUAUCAGAAACAUUUAUAUGAAUCAGAAGAGAAAGAUUUCAAGAUUAAGUAGUUAAUAUAUCUCAGAAACUGAACAGAAAACCAUCCUGUUUGAAUGCCUGUUCAUUCACACCCAUAUGGAAUCUCUGCAUAUAUUUUGUGAUGGAUAAUUUAACGUAAAAAUUGAUAAUCGAGACUGUUAAUUAUAGAAUUGGCGUUAGUAAUGAUGAUCCAGGCUAGCUGAAAAAUGAAUCGUUAGUAUCUUGGUUCAGAGUGAAGUGAUAUGGCUGAAAUUUUCAGCAUUUUCUGUUUUCAUUACCAGUAUUAAUUUUUAACUAUAUAGCGAAAACUGUCAGCUCUUUUACAUAUCUAAUCUUACCUAAUGCCUCUUUAAACUUCUGUAUAAUCUCAAUAUUAUCAGUUAAUUCAAUAGAAUCUAUACCGUAAACUCUCUAAAAUAUAUCAAUGGUAACUAAUUGGAUGGACAUCAGUUUGCUUGAUAAUGUAAUAGUGAUUUAUUAUUCAAAAAAUUACAGGGCAUAAUUUUAAGAGCAUGGUUAGACAGUUUGCAUUGAUUUCAAUAUGCAGUACAUUGACCUCUUUGGGUCAAAUUGCUUUCAUGUUUUACAAUAUUUCUAUUGAUUCAAAAUUGUUUUAUUAUACAUUUAGUAUGUAUUAUUUUAAUACUACUAUAUAUUUUAUAACUUAACUUAUGUAUGUAACCUGCCAAAUAUAAAUUGUACACAUAUUAUUAUUAUAGGCCCACACAUAAGUAUUAGUGUAUAAUGCAGUUGCCCUUUCUGCUCAAUAGAAGCCACAAUUUUUGACGAAUCUUUUUCAAACUUGCAUGUGAUCAUAAUCACAUUUUACUUUCUGAGGUCAUGGCACUUUAAUUAGCGUAAUUUUGCUUUUCCGCCACAGUCUAUGGCUAAAUGUUUUCAUUACAAAGCUGUUGUGUAGGUGUAUUUCCAUGCUUUGCGUGGCUAUCUUGUUUUUAUUUUAGUGUCAUAUAUAUUUUUUUUGU
Patella vulgata (common limpet) is the source of this 1202-nucleotide long non-coding RNA. RefSeq lists it as uncharacterized. The transcript has 3 exons. The record is from RefSeq and is a predicted model, not a curated record. Lineage: Eukaryota; Metazoa; Mollusca; Gastropoda; Patellidae.